UCCAGCAACGCCAGGCUGGGGGGGAGGGGUGUGUCUGGCCUCUGUUCCACCCUGCUUCUAGAAACCUGAGGUCAGAGAGAGACAAAACAUAUCAGCAAGAAGGAGAGUAUGAAGCACCUUCCUUGUUUGGUCAGGGAAUGCCAGGAGCUAGUUGUUAACCCCCUGCUCUGUACCAUCGAAUCCUCUCAGCGCUGCCCAGGGCACACAGGCACGAGUCGUCCCUCGUCCAGCAUAUACUCGCAGCGGACAGUCGUCUCCAGCCAUCUCCGCCAAAAGGUCAACUGUCCUGGUAUCACAGUGCUUGUAUCCAAGUACCCCUUGGUUUGCUGAAUAAUCACCUCCAGGAGCAAGAGUGGUGAUGCUGGCAAUUCAGAGAGGCCAAGAGAAACCUACAGCACUUCCAAUAAGUGAAAAGGCGAAAGUUCUUGAUUUAAGGGGAAAAACAAA
Microcebus murinus (gray mouse lemur) is the source of this 447-nucleotide non-coding RNA. Lineage: Eukaryota; Metazoa; Chordata; Mammalia; Primates; Cheirogaleidae. The record is from RefSeq and is a predicted model, not a curated record.